Molecule: ribosomal RNA, 503 nt
Filed under: uncultured bacterium
Lineage: Bacteria
Description: partial 16S ribosomal RNA
Rfam family: Bacterial small subunit ribosomal RNA
Source: RNAcentral
GAUGAACGCUAGCGAUAGGCCUAACACAUGCAAGUUGAGGGGCAGCAUAGAGUAGCAAUACUUUGAUGGCGACCGGCGCACGGGUGAGUAACACGUAUGCAACCUACCUACAUCAGGGGAAUAACCCGGAGAAAUUCGGACUAAUACCGCAUAAUACAGGGAUGCCGCAUGGCAAGAUUUGUUAAAGAUUUAUCGGAUGUAGAUGGGCAUGCGUUCCAUUAGCUAGUUGGUAAGGUAACGGCUUACCAAGGCAACGAUGGAUAGGGGAACUGAGAGGUUUGUCCCCCACACUGGAACUGAGACACGGACCAGACUCCUACGGGAGGCAGCAGUGAGGAAUAUUGGUCAAUGGACGAGAGUCUGAACCAGCCAAAUCGCGUGAAGGAAGACUGCCCUACGGGUUGUAAACUUCUUUUGUACAGGAAUAAAAGACAUUACGUGUAAUGUAUUGCAUGUACUGUACGAAUAAGCAUCGGCUAACUCCGUGCCAGCAGCCGCCGUAA